This 382-nucleotide ribosomal RNA is filed under the name uncultured Gammaproteobacteria bacterium. RNAcentral's name for it is "SSU rRNA". It matches the Rfam family "Bacterial small subunit ribosomal RNA", at positions 242 to 615 of the family's 1533-position model. Lineage: Bacteria; Pseudomonadati; Pseudomonadota; Gammaproteobacteria. The record is from RNAcentral.
CAGCUUGUUGGCGGGGUAAAAGCCCACCAAGGCGACGAUCCGUAGCUGGUCUGAGAGGAUGAUCAGCCACACUGGAACUGAGACACGGUCCAGACUCCUACGGGAGGCAGCAGUGGGGAAUAUUGGACAAUGGGCGCAAGCCUGAUCCAGCCAUACCGCGUGGGUGAAGAAGGCCUUCGGGUUGUAAAGCCCUUUUGUUGGGAAAGAAAUCCUGCCGGUUAAUAAUCAGUAGGGAUGACGGUACCCAAAGAAUAAGCACCGGCUAACUUCGUGCCAGCAGCCGCGGUAAUACGAAGGGUGCAAGCGUUACUCGGAAUUACUGGGCGUAAAGCGUGCGUAGGUGGUUGUUUUAAGUCUGCUGUGAAAGCCCUGGGCCUCACCU